RNAcentral lists this ribosomal RNA (334 nucleotides) under uncultured bacterium. RNAcentral describes it as "bacterial SSU rRNA". It matches the Rfam family "Bacterial small subunit ribosomal RNA", at positions 30 to 364 of the family's 1533-position model. The record is from RNAcentral.
AUUGAACGCUGGCGGCAUGCUUUACACAUGCAAGUCGAACGGCAGCGCGGACUUCGGUCUGGCGGCGAGUGGCGAACGGGUGAGUAAGACAUCGGAACGUGCCUGAAAGUGGGGGACAACCAGUCGAAAGAUUGGCUAAUACCGCAUACGAUCUACGGAUGAAAGAGGGGGACCUUAGGGCCUCUUGCUUUUAGAGCGGCCGAUGGCUGAUUAGCUAGUUGGUGGGGUAAAGGCCUACCAAGGCGACGAUCAGUAGCUGGUCUGAGAGGACGAUCAGCCACACUGGGACUGAGACACGGCCCAGACUCCUACGGGAGGCAGCAGUGGGGAAUAU